GAUGAACGCUAGCGGCGUGGAUAAGGCAUGCAAGUCGAACGCCUCAUUUCAUUUCGGCGUAAACUUCUUCGGGAGCUUGCUCCGAGCGAAGCGAGGAGUGGCGAACGGGUUAGUAACACGUGGGUAAUGAACCCCAGAGACGGGCAUAACCUGGAGAAAUUCAGGCUAAUUCCCGAAGUCCCUUUCUGGCAAAAGUUAGGAAGGAUAAAUGGAAGCUUCGGCAACCGCUCUAGGAUCAGUCCGCGGCUUAUCAGCUUGUUGAUGAGGUAAUGACUCACCAAGGCUAUGACGGGUAGGGGACAUGAGAGUGUGUUCCCCAACAAUAGCUCUGCGACACGGGCUAUACUCCUACGGGAGGCAGCAGUCGAGAAUAAUUCGCAAUGGGCGAAAGCCUGACGAUGCGACGCCGCGUGCUCGAAGAAUCCCUUCGGGGUGUAAAGAGCUUUUCUGGAGGAAGAACCUUCGGGUGACGGUACUCCAGGAAUAAAGGGAUACUAAUCACGUGCCAGCAGUAGCGGUAAUACGUGAUCCCUAAGCGUUAUCCGGAUUUAUUGGGCGUAAAGCGUUCGUAGGCGGUUAGGUAAGUUUUUGGUUAAAGCCCCAUGGCUUAACUAUGGGAAUGCCAGAGAUACUGCCUAACUAGAGGGCGUUAGAGGCUGGCGGAACGGUCGGUGUAGGGGUGAAAUCCGUUGAUAUCGACCGGAACACCGAAAGCGAAGGCAGCCAGCUGGAACGACCCUGACGCUGAGGAACGAAAGCGUGGGUAGCAAAAAGGAUUAGAUGCCCUUGUAGUCCACGCUGUAAACGAUGGACACUGGCUAUUUGAAGUGUCGACCCUUCAAGUGGCGAAGCUAACGCGUUAAGUGUCCCGCCUGGGAAGACGGCCGCAAGGCU
Molecule: ribosomal RNA, 894 nt
Filed under: uncultured bacterium
Lineage: Bacteria
Description: bacterial SSU rRNA
Rfam family: Bacterial small subunit ribosomal RNA
Source: RNAcentral